GGAAAAACCUGUGGUCCGCCCAGAAGAGAUUCCUCCAGUGCCUGAGAACCGAUUUUUACUAAGAAGAGAUAUGCCUGUUGUUACUGCAGAACCUGAACCGAAGAUUCCUGAUGUUGCACCCAUUGUAAGUGAUCAGAAACCAUCUGUAUCAAAGUCUGGACGGAAGAUUAAAGGAAGGGGCACAAUUGUAUGUGUGAUAAGACUUUUUUUGAAAUUAUGUAUCUAAUAAAAAAUUUUUACCUAUUGUCAAAGUCCUAGCUUUAAUUUUAAAUAUAAUACAAAAUCUGUUCAAGGAACUAAUUGUAUUAAGGUAUUGCUGUUAGAUCAAAGUAUACUGCUGUGUUUGAAUGGGUUUAAUUGAGUAUGAAAGGAGGAACAUGUGAAACCAUCCGUGAGUAUGCUGAGAAAUCAUUAAGACUUUAAAGAGGAAAAUUUUAUGUGGAUUACAGGUGAAUCUCAGCCUUGCCCAUCUCUUUUAAUGCCUUGUUUGAAAUAACUUCACCUGAACCUAAACCUAAAAUAAAAGUUAAAAACU
RNAcentral lists this small RNA (535 nucleotides) under Pongo abelii (Sumatran orangutan). RNAcentral describes it as "retained intron". Lineage: Eukaryota; Metazoa; Chordata; Mammalia; Primates; Hominidae. The record is from RNAcentral.